UGGAUCUCAAAUCAGACAAGAUGACCCGCU
Molecule: ribosomal RNA, 30 nt
Filed under: Hydropuntia sp. PEL-2012
Lineage: Eukaryota; Rhodophyta; Florideophyceae; Gracilariales; Gracilariaceae
Description: partial 28S ribosomal RNA
Source: RNAcentral